GUUGGGGUGAUGGCGCGUGCUUACCAUGCAGUCGAACGAACCUUCGGGUUAGUGGCGGACGGGUGAGUAACGCGUGGGAAUCUGCCCUCAGGAGGGGGAUAACGGCUGGAAACGGCCGCUAAUACCCCAUAUGCCGAGAGGUGAAAUGAAUUUCGCCUGAGGAUGAGCCCGCGUCUGAUUAGCUAGUUGGUGAGGUAAGAGCUCACCAAGGCAUCGAUCAGUAGCUGGUCUGAGAGGAUGAUCAGCCACACUGGGACUGAGACACGGCCCAGGCUCCUACGGGAGGCAGCAGUGGGGAAUUUUCCGCAAUGGGCGAAAGCCUGACGGAGCAACGCCGCGUGAGGGAUGAAGGCCUCUGGGCUGUAAACCUCUUUUCUCAAGGAAGAAGAUCUGACGGUACUUGAGGAAUAAGCCACGGCUAAUUCCGUGCCAGCAGCCGCGGUAAUACGGGAGUGGCAAGCGUUAUCCGGAAUUAUUGGGCGUAAAGCGUCCGCAGGCGGCCCUUCAAGUCUGCUGUUAAAACGUGGAGCUUAACUCCAUCAUGGCAGUGGAAACUGUUGGGCUUGAGUGUGGUAGGGGCAGAGGGAAUUCCCGGUGUAGCGGUGAAAUGCGUAGAUAUCGGGAAGAACACCAGUGGCGAAGGCGCUCUGCUGGGCCAUAACUGACGCUCAUGGACGAAAGCCAGGGGAGCGAAAGGGAUUAGAUACCCCUGUAGUCCUGGCCGUAAACGAUGAACACUAGGUGUCGGGGGAAUCGACCCCCUCGGUGUCGUAGCCAACGCGUUAAGUGUUCCGCCUGGGGAGUACGCACGCAAGUGUGAAACUCAAAGGAAUUGACGGGGGCCCGCACAAGCGGUGGAGUAUGUGGUUUAAUUCGAUGCAACGCGAAGAACCUUACCAGGGUUUGACAUCCUGCGAAUCUCCUGGAAACGGGAGAGUGCCUUCGGGAACGCAGUGACAGGUGGUGCAUGGCUGUCGUCAGCUCGUGUCGUGAGAUGUUGGGUUAAGUCCCGCAACGAGCGCAACCCACGUCUUUAGUUGCCAGCAUUCAGUUGGGCACUCUAGAGAGACUGCCGGUGAUAAACCGGAGGAAG
RNAcentral lists this ribosomal RNA (1093 nucleotides) under uncultured bacterium. RNAcentral describes it as "bacterial SSU rRNA". It matches the Rfam family "Bacterial small subunit ribosomal RNA", at positions 28 to 1172 of the family's 1533-position model. The record is from RNAcentral.